CCUACGGGAGGCAGCAGUGAGGAAUAUUGGUCAAUGGACGAGAGUCUGAACCAGCCAAGUAGCGUGAAGGACGACUGCCCUAUGGGUUGUAAACUUCUUUUAUAUGGGAAUAAAAUGUUCCACGUGUGGGAUUUUGUAUGUACCAUAUGAAUAAGGAUCGGCUAACUCCGUGCCAGCAGCCGCGGUAAUACGGAGGAUCCGAGCGUUAUCCGGAUUUAUUGGGUUUAAAGGGAGCGUAGGUGGAUUGUUAAGUCAGUUGUGAAAGUUUGCGGCUCAACCGUAAAAUUGCAAUUGAUACUGGCAGUCUUGAGUACAGUAGAGGUAGGCGGAAUUCGUGGUGUAGCGGUGAAAUGCUUAGAUAUCACGAAGAACUCCGAUUGCGAAGGCAGUUCACUGGACUGCAACUGACACUGAGGCUCGAAAGUGUGGGUAUCAAACAGGAUUAGAUACCCCAGUAGUC
This 460-nucleotide ribosomal RNA is filed under the name uncultured bacterium. Its description in RNAcentral is "partial 16S ribosomal RNA". It matches the Rfam family "Bacterial small subunit ribosomal RNA", at positions 338 to 795 of the family's 1533-position model. The record is from RNAcentral.